GAUGAACGCUGGCGGCGUGCCUAAUACAUGCAAGUCGAGCGAACGGACGAGAAGCUUGCUUCUCUGAUGUUAGCGGCGGACGGGUGAGUAACACGUGGAUAACCUACCUAUAAGACUGGGAUAACUUCGGGAAACCGUAGCUAAUACCGGAUAAUAUUUUGAACCGCAUGGUUCAAAAGUGAAAGACGGUCUUGCUUUCACUUAUAGAUGUAUCCGCGCUGCAUUAGCUAGUUGGUAAGGUAACGGCUUACCAAGGCAACGAUGCAUAGCCGACCUGAGAGGGUGAUCGGCCACCCUGGAACUGAGAACGGGUCCAGGGUCCUACGGGAGGCAGCAGUAGGGAAUCUUCAGCAAUGGGCGAAAGCCUGACGGAGCAACGCCGCGUGAGUGAUGAAGGACUUCGGAUCGUAAAACUCUGUUAUUAGGGAAGAAAAUAUGUGUAAGUAACUGUGCACAUCUUGACGGUACCUAAUCAGAAAGCCACGGCUAACUACGUG
RNAcentral lists this ribosomal RNA (497 nucleotides) under uncultured bacterium. RNAcentral describes it as "partial 16S ribosomal RNA". It matches the Rfam family "Bacterial small subunit ribosomal RNA", at positions 28 to 507 of the family's 1533-position model. The record is from RNAcentral.